Molecule: ribosomal RNA, 253 nt
Filed under: uncultured bacterium
Lineage: Bacteria
Description: partial 16S ribosomal RNA
Rfam family: Bacterial small subunit ribosomal RNA
Source: RNAcentral
UACGGAGGGUGCAAGCGUUAUCCGGAUUCACUGGGUUUAAAGGGUGCGUAGGUGGGCUGGUAAGUCCGUGGUGAAAUCUCCAAGCUUAACUUGGAAACUGCCGUGGAUACUAUUAGUCUUGAAUCUCGUGGAGGUAAGCGGAAUAUGUCACGUAGCGGUGAAAUGCUUAGAUAUGACAUAGAACACCGAUAGCGAAGGCAGCUUGCUACACGAGUAUUGACACUGAGGCACGAAAGCGUGGGGAUCAAACAGG